Non-coding RNA from Meloidogyne enterolobii, 99 nucleotides. Lineage: Eukaryota; Metazoa; Nematoda; Chromadorea; Rhabditida; Meloidogynidae. The record is from the annotation of a GenBank genome assembly.
GCCCCGGUAGCUCAGUGGUAGAGCUCCUGUAUGUUGUGAGCGAAAGCGCCUAGCAAUAACUGUCAGGAGGUCGCAGGUUUGAAUCCUGCCCGAUGGGUA